UUCGGCUCAGGUCAUGAUCUCGUGGUCUGUGAGUUCGAGCCCUGCGUCAGGCUCUGUGCUGACAGCUCAGAGCCUGGCGCCUGCUUUGGAUUCUGUGUCUUCCUCUCUCUCUCUCUCUCUGCCCCUCCCCCCCAAGCUCUGUCUUCUUAAAAAUAAAUAAAUGUUAAAAAAAAAUUUUUUUUAAACAGUGGGGGUUUCUAAGCAAGGACAGACACAACACUCUCUGGGACUCAGGGGGCUUCCCCCUCAUGCCCCUCUCUAGCUGACAGCUACACCUGAGCCAGCCCAGUGCCCAGGGAUGCUAAGGUAGGGCUCAGGGUUCAUGGAGCCAAGGGAGGGGCUGGGCUUCCUCCGACCAGACCAGCCUAAUUAGUAGCAUGAGGACAGAGAGAAACUAGGGAUCCCAAAAUGCCUCAACUUGUAUCUAGAUUCAAAGUCCCACCCCCCUGUGAUGGUGGGGCCUUGCAGCCCCGAGGAAGUCUCAGGGUCUCUCACCAUGGCCCAGGUCCCAGAAGGAGCCAGGGUGCCUUCCCAGCACAAAGGACCUGUGUCAUGCCUAUUUAAUGAUGGCCCAUGUGAAAUGAGGCACCCUAACCAUUCUGCCCAAAGGGCCUCUCCCCCAAAUCUGGUUUAGGCAUCUCCCCCUCGGGGCACUGGGGAUAGCUAAACUGGGCUGUCGUCAAGCAGGAAUGUAUAACUGGAACCAAAGUGUAUUCCAGAAGUGGCCUGUGACAAUCCCCAGGGAAGGACAGAGAAGCACCUGGAUGGCACAGAGGAGAAGCUGGAGGCUCUAGCUGGAGCCUGGCCAAAAAUGAGUAGUGGGUGCACACCCGCCUCUAUACGCCCACAGAAAGCAGAUCAUUUGCUCCUUUAACAAUGAAAUAUUUCUAUUUUAAAAUGGGAGCAUGCCUUCAGACAGUGAUCUGCUAUUAUACACAUCAUCUGACCAGCCCAACAUGACCUUCCUUCUUCCUGGCCCAAGCAGAGCUCAGUGAAAGAAGUCUGAUUACCAUUAUGGCAGAAUCAUAAGCCACCAAUUCUUUUAGAGCUUGCAGAACAAAAGAGACUCAGAGGUUGUCUUAGCCUAUGGAGAACACAGAACCCUUCUUGAGGGUCUGGAUUACCCAGGGGUAUAACAGGACCACGGAGCUUCACAACUCCUUUGCAAAGACAGGCUGGCCUUGGACUCUGAAAAGAAAAUGCCAGUUCUCUCUUACCUUAGCUCUGGGGCAGGCUUGAUGCAAGUCACAGACUUGGAACAAGUUGUUGGCCUCGCACAACCCCAAACAGCAUUCAGGAAUGCCACAUGUUUGCACCACAAAGCAUCACUGCGUGGUCCAACAAGAAAUCACUUGUGCACUGUGAUCACAGAGAUUUUCACCUGCAGGGGCACCAGCCUCUCUCUGCUCCUAAGGACACCUCUCUUCUACACAUGGGGUUCUCUUUGCCUCCUCUUUCCCAUUAGGACAGCCAACCCACCAACCAUCUCCAACCUCUGUCCAGAAUAAAAAUCAGCUGUGCCCGCACCACCAUGAUCCCCAACCCCAACCUGUCCACACUUGGUCUCAUCCACAGAAGGCCUAGCAUCCAGCCAAGGGGCGCUGAGGUGGCCCAGUCGGUUGAGCGUCAGACUUCGGCUCAGGUCAUGAUCUCACGGUCUGUGAGUUCGAGCCCCUCAUCGGGCUCUGUGCUGACAGCUCGGAGCCUGGAGCCUGGAGCUUCGGAUUCUGUCUCCCUCUCUCUCUGCCCCUCCUCCACUCACGCUGUCUCUCUCUCUCUCAAAAAUAAAUAAGCAUUUUUUUACAA
Molecule: long non-coding RNA, 1806 nt
Organism: Neofelis nebulosa (Clouded leopard)
Lineage: Eukaryota; Metazoa; Chordata; Mammalia; Carnivora; Felidae
Exons: 2
Source: RefSeq, a predicted model, not a curated record